RNAcentral lists this ribosomal RNA (2904 nucleotides) under Escherichia coli. RNAcentral's name for it is "23S ribosomal RNA". It matches the Rfam family "Bacterial large subunit ribosomal RNA". The record is from RNAcentral. Lineage: Bacteria; Pseudomonadati; Pseudomonadota; Gammaproteobacteria; Enterobacterales; Enterobacteriaceae.
GGUUAAGCGACUAAGCGUACACGGUGGAUGCCCUGGCAGUCAGAGGCGAUGAAGGACGUGCUAAUCUGCGAUAAGCGUCGGUAAGGUGAUAUGAACCGUUAUAACCGGCGAUUUCCGAAUGGGGAAACCCAGUGUGAUUCGUCACACUAUCAUUAACUGAAUCCAUAGGUUAAUGAGGCGAACCGGGGGAACUGAAACAUCUAAGUACCCCGAGGAAAAGAAAUCAACCGAGAUUCCCCCAGUAGCGGCGAGCGAACGGGGAGCAGCCCAGAGCCUGAAUCAGUGUGUGUGUUAGUGGAAGCGUCUGGAAAGGCGUGCGAUACAGGGUGACAGCCCCGUACACAAAAAUGCACAUACUGUGAGCUCGAUGAGUAGGGCGGGACACGUGGUAUCCUGUCUGAAUAUGGGGGGACCAUCCUCCAAGGCUAAAUACUCCUGACUGACCGAUAGUGAACCAGUACCGUGAGGGAAAGGCGAAAAGAACCCCGGCGAGGGGAGUGAAAAAGAACCUGAAACCGUGUACGUACAAGCAGUGGGAGCACGCUUAGGCGUGUGACUGCGUACCUUUUGUAUAAUGGGUCAGCGACUUAUAUUCUGUAGCAAGGUUAACCGAAUAGGGGAGCCGAAGGGAAACCGAGUCUUAACUGGGCGUUAAGUUGCAGGGUAUAGACCCGAAACCCGGUGAUCUAGCCAUGGGCAGGUUGAAGGUUGGGUAACACUAACUGGAGGACCGAACCGACUAAUGUUGAAAAAUUAGCGGAUGACUUGUGGCUGGGGGUGAAAGGCCAAUCAAACCGGGAGAUAGCUGGUUCUCCCCGAAAGCUAUUUAGGUAGCGCCUCGUGAAUUCAUCUCCGGGGGUAGAGCACUGUUUCGGCAAGGGGGUCAUCCCGACUUACCAACCCGAUGCAAACUGCGAAUACCGGAGAAUGUUAUCACGGGAGACACACGGCGGGUGCUAACGUCCGUCGUGAAGAGGGAAACAACCCAGACCGCCAGCUAAGGUCCCAAAGUCAUGGUUAAGUGGGAAACGAUGUGGGAAGGCCCAGACAGCCAGGAUGUUGGCUUAGAAGCAGCCAUCAUUUAAAGAAAGCGUAAUAGCUCACUGGUCGAGUCGGCCUGCGCGGAAGAUGUAACGGGGCUAAACCAUGCACCGAAGCUGCGGCAGCGACGCUUAUGCGUUGUUGGGUAGGGGAGCGUUCUGUAAGCCUGCGAAGGUGUGCUGUGAGGCAUGCUGGAGGUAUCAGAAGUGCGAAUGCUGACAUAAGUAACGAUAAAGCGGGUGAAAAGCCCGCUCGCCGGAAGACCAAGGGUUCCUGUCCAACGUUAAUCGGGGCAGGGUGAGUCGACCCCUAAGGCGAGGCCGAAAGGCGUAGUCGAUGGGAAACAGGUUAAUAUUCCUGUACUUGGUGUUACUGCGAAGGGGGGACGGAGAAGGCUAUGUUGGCCGGGCGACGGUUGUCCCGGUUUAAGCGUGUAGGCUGGUUUUCCAGGCAAAUCCGGAAAAUCAAGGCUGAGGCGUGAUGACGAGGCACUACGGUGCUGAAGCAACAAAUGCCCUGCUUCCAGGAAAAGCCUCUAAGCAUCAGGUAACAUCAAAUCGUACCCCAAACCGACACAGGUGGUCAGGUAGAGAAUACCAAGGCGCUUGAGAGAACUCGGGUGAAGGAACUAGGCAAAAUGGUGCCGUAACUUCGGGAGAAGGCACGCUGAUAUGUAGGUGAAGUCCCUCGCGGAUGGAGCUGAAAUCAGUCGAAGAUACCAGCUGGCUGCAACUGUUUAUUAAAAACACAGCACUGUGCAAACACGAAAGUGGACGUAUACGGUGUGACGCCUGCCCGGUGCCGGAAGGUUAAUUGAUGGGGUCAGCGCAAGCGAAGCUCUUGAUCGAAGCCCCGGUAAACGGCGGCCGUAACUAUAACGGUCCUAAGGUAGCGAAAUUCCUUGUCGGGUAAGUUCCGACCUGCACGAAUGGCGUAAUGAUGGCCAGGCUGUCUCCACCCGAGACUCAGUGAAAUUGAACUCGCUGUGAAGAUGCAGUGUACCCGCGGCAAGACGGAAAGACCCCGUGAACCUUUACUAUAGCUUGACACUGAACAUUGAGCCUUGAUGUGUAGGAUAGGUGGGAGGCUUUGAAGUGUGGACGCCAGUCUGCAUGGAGCCGGCCUUGAAAUACCACCCUUUAAUGUUUGAUGUUCUAACGUUGACCCGUAAUCCGGGUUGCGGACAGUGUCUGGUGGGUAGUUUGACUGGGGCGGUCUCCUCCUAAAGAGUAACGGAGGAGCACGAAGGUUGGCUAAUCCUGGUCGGACAUCAGGAGGUUAGUGCAAUGGCAUAAGCCAGCUUGACUGCGAGCGUGACGGCGCGAGCAGGUGCGAAAGCAGGUCAUAGUGAUCCGGUGGUUCUGAAUGGAAGGGCCAUCGCUCAACGGAUAAAAGGUACUCCGGGGAUAACAGGCUGAUACCGCCCAAGAGUUCAUAUCGACGGCGGUGUUUGGCACCUCGAUGUCGGCUCAUCACAUCCUGGGGCUGAAGUAGGUCCCAAGGGUAUGGCUGUUCGCCAUUUAAAGUGGUACGCGAGCUGGGUUUAGAACGUCGUGAGACAGUUCGGUCCCUAUCUGCCGUGGGCGCUGGAGAACUGAGGGGGGCUGCUCCUAGUACGAGAGGACCGGAGUGGACGCAUCACUGGUGUUCGGGUUGUCAUGCCAAUGGCACUGCCCGGUAGCUAAAUGCGGAAGAGAUAAGUGCUGAAAGCAUCUAAGCACGAAACUUGCCCCGAGAUGAGUUCUCCCUGACUCCUUGAGAGUCCUGAAGGAACGUUGAAGACGACGACGUUGAUAGGCCGGGUGUGUAAGCGCAGCGAUGCGUUGAGCUAACCGGUACUAAUGAACCGUGAGGCUUAACCUU